GAUGAACGCUGGCGGCGUGCCUAAUACAUGCAAGUCGAGCGAACAGACGAGGAGCUUGCUCCUUCGACGUUAGCGGCGGACGGGUGAGUAACACGUAGGUAACCUACCUAUAAGACUGGGAUAACUUCGGGAAACCGGAGCUAAUACCGGAUAAUAUUUCGAACCGCAUGGUUCGAUAGUGAAAGAUGGCUUUGCUAUCACUUAUAGAUGGACCUGCGCCGUAUUAGCUAGUUGGUAAGGUAACGGCUUACCAAGGCAACGAUCCGUAGCCGACCUGAGAGGGUGGUCGGCCACACUGGAACGGAGACACGGUCCAGAGUCCUACGGGAGGCAGCAGUAGGGAAUGUUCCGCAAUGGGCGAAAGCCUGACGGAGUAACGCCGAGUGAGUGAUGAAGGUCUUCGGAUCGUAAAACUCUGUUAUUAGGGAAGAACAAACGUGUAAGUAACUGUGCACGUCUUGACGGUACCUAAUCAGAAAGCCACGGCUAACUACGUG
Molecule: ribosomal RNA, 497 nt
Filed under: uncultured bacterium
Lineage: Bacteria
Description: partial 16S ribosomal RNA
Rfam family: Bacterial small subunit ribosomal RNA
Source: RNAcentral